GACGAACUGUCCAAACGUUGUUCGGAAUCACUGGGCUUAAAGGGCGCGUAGGCGGUCAAACAAGUCAAGGGUGAAAUCCUGCAGCUUAACUGUAGAAGUGCCUUUGAUACUGUUUGUCUGGAGGGAGAUAGGGGUGUGCGGAACUUCCAGUGGAGCGGUGAAAUGCGUUGAUAUCGGGAGGAAGGCCGGUGGCGAAGGCGGCCCUCUGGUGCUUGACUGACGCUGAGGCGCUAAAGCGUGGGGAGCAAACAGGAUUAGAAACCCCGGUA
Molecule: ribosomal RNA, 269 nt
Filed under: uncultured bacterium
Lineage: Bacteria
Description: partial 16S ribosomal RNA
Rfam family: Bacterial small subunit ribosomal RNA
Source: RNAcentral